Molecule: long non-coding RNA, 1273 nt
Filed under: Parus major (Great Tit)
Lineage: Eukaryota; Metazoa; Chordata; Aves; Passeriformes; Paridae
Description: lncRNA (ENSPMJG00000018838.1)
Source: RNAcentral
GGGCGGGACGGUUGAAAAAUGGCGGGAGAUUCCGCUCCCCCUCACGGCGGGCGGCGGGACCGACCCCGCGCGCGCGCCCCGACCCUGCCGCCCCGCCCCACAACUCCCACCCCCCACGCCGCGGUGCCGACAGUCUAUUGGCGGGACGCCCGAGUCGCCAGCUGCGGAUUGGCCGCACGGCCGGUCGAUCGCGCCGCCGCGCCCCACCCCGCCGGCUCGGCGGGGUGAGAGGUCACGUUAUGUAAGUAGCGGCGCACUGCGCGGCUCCAUUUUGUGGCCCCCCGUUAUUCGCCCUCCCCACUGUCUCGUGACGGCCAACCACAGCGCACUCCGCCCCCUCCAGUCCCGCGGCCACCAAUCAGAGCGCGUUCUGGCCACCGCCUCUUCUCGCGCCUAUCCGGCUACCGCGGCGGGGCGCGCGCUGGGCUUUGUCCUCCGCGUCUAGCGCGGGGCAUUGUGGGGUUGUAGGGGUGUCUAUGGCGGGCGCAGCUGCCCUCUUAGGAAGGCCCGGGCCGGGUCCAGCCGUGCGAGCUCUCAGCGUCUCCUCGGCGCUGAGUCCCUCCGCUCCGCAGGGAAGCGGAGCGGCGGCUCCGGUGGGCUGGCCUCCGGGGCAGAUGAGGAGGAAGAGGAGAGGAAGGGAGCCGCGGCCUGACGGCUGUGGGGGAAGUGGGGAAGGAAGCCCAGCCAUCCCGUGGGUGCUGCUCCUGGGAAUGGAGGAAAACAAAAAUUUCGAGAGGUGUGGGGGAGAUCCAUUAAAGCAGAGGCACUGGGUAAAUACCGCCUGCUCCUCACUCCACCAGCACCCGGGAUCAACGAUUAACUCCGGGUAAACAGAGCUGACUGCCAGUCAGCCCUUGGCCACAGCAAGGAGGGACAGGGGACCCAAAGUGCUCCUCCCCAGGUGUGUGGGGAAUGUAAAGGCUGGAGUUGGAUGCAAAAGCUGGACGCUGCUGGAGCAGGACACUGGCAUGGAACUGAAGCUCUGGUGCCUGGUGGCCAUUGGACACAUCCUGCUGAUGGUGUGCCAUGGGCGGGAUCAGUCACCAGCACUAUAAAUAGAGCUGGCAGCGAAUCUGCCCUGGGGAAUAACUGCUGAACCCUGGAGCGAGGAACAGACAGCGUGGGCUGGGUGGAGGAGGUGCCUAGGAGGAGGCGUGAUGCCAGUAUCCUGUACUGGGGAGCCCAACAGCAUGUGCUCGAUGCCAAUGCAGUGCCUGUAGGGCUUCAGCUCAACCGGGACGUGGAUCACAGUGCUGGACGAGAUCCAUAAGAG